Molecule: ribosomal RNA, 281 nt
Filed under: uncultured bacterium
Lineage: Bacteria
Description: partial 16S ribosomal RNA
Rfam family: Bacterial small subunit ribosomal RNA
Source: RNAcentral
ACUCCUACGGGAGGCAGCAGUGGGGAAUACUGCACAAUGGGGGAACCCGAUGAUGCAGCCAUGCCGCGUGUGUGAAGAAGGCCUUCGGGUUGUAAAGCACUUUCAGUAGGGAGGAAGGUAGUGUAGUUAACACCUGCAUUAUUUGACGUUACCUACAGAAGAAGCACCGGCUAACUCCGUGCCAGCAGCCGCGGUAAUACGGAGGGUGCGAGCGUUAAUCGGAAUUACUGGGCGUAAAGCGCAUGCAGGCGGCCUGUUAAGUCAGAUGUGAAAGCCCGGGC